AUUCUUAUGAAUUACACCUGAGAACGUGAUAUGAAAGUAAUGAUCCGUUUUUAAAAAUUUCUAAGUUCAUAAAUUGUUUUGUUGGAGAUUCUUUUUGUCUUUGUAGAUAUAAAUGAAAGCCCUUUGAUCUGUUUUGUUAAAUUUCUAAGUUCAUAAAUUGUUUUGUUAGAGAUUCUUUUUGUCUUCGUUGAUAUAAGUGAAAGCCUUCAAAAAGAUCUGAUUUUUUGUAUUUAAUGUUGUUCUGACCUGAGGAAUUUAUGUUGCAGGUAUGGAGUUACAUGUAUUAAUUAUGGUUGGUGAGUGGAUAUACAAAGAAGAAGGUUGGAAAUUUGAAGCUGAGAAAGGAAGUUUCGGACGCUGUGUACGUAUUAGAGACACAACGACGUACACGGAUUUGGCAAGUACAAUAUGUGAUGUUUU
Molecule: small RNA, 420 nt
Filed under: Arabidopsis thaliana (thale cress)
Lineage: Eukaryota; Viridiplantae; Streptophyta; Magnoliopsida; Brassicales; Brassicaceae
Description: ATSL085890
Source: RNAcentral